UACGUAGGUGACUAGCGUUGUCCGGAUUUACUGGGUGUAAAGAGCGCGCAGGCGGUCGUUCAAGUCGAGUGUGAAAGCCCCCGGCUCAACUGGGGAGGGUCAUUCGAUACUGAUCGACUCGAAGGCAGGAGAGGGAAGCGGAAUUCCCGGUGUAGUGGUGAAAUGCGUAGAUAUCGGGAGGAACACCAGUGGCGAAGGCGGCUUCCUGGCCUGUUCUUGACGCUGAGGCGCGAAAGCUAGGGGAGCAAACGGG
Molecule: ribosomal RNA, 253 nt
Filed under: uncultured bacterium
Lineage: Bacteria
Description: partial 16S ribosomal RNA
Rfam family: Bacterial small subunit ribosomal RNA
Source: RNAcentral